Molecule: ribosomal RNA, 253 nt
Filed under: uncultured bacterium
Lineage: Bacteria
Description: partial 16S ribosomal RNA
Rfam family: Bacterial small subunit ribosomal RNA
Source: RNAcentral
UACAGGGGGGGCAAGCGUUGUUCGGAAUUACUGGGCGUAAAGGGUCUGUAGGUGGCCAACUAAGUCAGACGUGAAAUCCCUCAGCUUAACUGGGGAACUGCGUCUGAUACUGGAUGGCUCGAGUGUGGGAGAGGAAUGCGGAAUUCCAGGUGUAGCGGUGAAAUGCGCAGAUAUCAGGAGGAACACCAAUGGCGAAGGCAGCUCGCUGGGACGUGACUGACGCUGAGGUGCGAAAGCGUGGGGAGCAAACAGG